This 437-nucleotide long non-coding RNA is filed under the name Canis lupus dingo (dingo). RNAcentral describes it as "lncRNA (ENSCAFG00020018771.1)". The record is from RNAcentral. Lineage: Eukaryota; Metazoa; Chordata; Mammalia; Carnivora; Canidae.
AACGGCUAGAAGCCUCUCCCCUCCCACCCCAAACUCCUGCUCAGAACUCUGAGCAAACACAAGGCAGGAGCCGUGCACUUGGCCCCCUGGGGCUUGUUCUUACUGGUGUUGUUCUGGAGUCGGCUAUGCUGCGUCUUGCCUGGCCCCACACAGGACCUUUCCCCUUGAUACUGUGAAAGACUCUGGAGUCUCUAGAAUUGCUUGGCCUCGCUCGACAGAGCCAGAUCCUCCCAUUUUUCCCAUAAGAUGCAAACAGAAGACUCCUGGACGCUGCUUCCAGAAUAAAUUUUUCUGGGAAAAAGGAAUAGUCGUAGCCAGUACAACCCUGCCAUUCCCCCUUGGUGCUGCCUUGAAUGUGCUUCUCACAGUUCCCACCUGGAAAAUUAUCUAACUGCCCAGAGCUGUCUUUCUUUGGAAGCAGAAGACUUCCAUUCCCU